CCCCUGAUAGCUCAGCUGGAAGAGCGCAAGACUGUAAAUCUUGAGGUCCCUGGUUCGAUCCCGGGUCAGAGGA
This 73-nucleotide transfer RNA is filed under the name Penicillium roqueforti FM164. RNAcentral describes it as "tRNA-Tyr (GTA) (tRNA-Tyr-GTA-4-1)". It matches the Rfam family "tRNA". From Rfam's summary of the family: Transfer RNA (tRNA) molecules are approximately 80 nucleotides in length. The record is from RNAcentral. Lineage: Eukaryota; Fungi; Ascomycota; Eurotiomycetes; Eurotiales; Aspergillaceae.